UAAACAUGCGAAUUACAUCUUUCCGUUUUA
Molecule: non-coding RNA, 30 nt
Filed under: Rattus norvegicus (Norway rat)
Lineage: Eukaryota; Metazoa; Chordata; Mammalia; Rodentia; Muridae
Source: RNAcentral